This 1074-nucleotide ribosomal RNA is filed under the name uncultured Glomus. RNAcentral describes it as "eukaryotic LSU rRNA". The stretch from base 1 to 237 matches the Rfam family "Eukaryotic small subunit ribosomal RNA", at positions 1597 to 1831 of the family's 1831-position model. The record is from RNAcentral. Lineage: Eukaryota; Fungi; Glomeromycota; Glomeromycetes; Glomerales; Glomeraceae.
UCUUCAACGAGGAAUCCCUAGUAAGCACAAGUCAUCAGCUUGUGCUGAUUACGUCCCUGCCCUUUGUACACACCGCCCGUCGCUACUACCGAUUGAAUGGCUUAGUGAGGCCUUCGGAUCGUUGGUAAAAAACUGUAACAGGUUUUCUGCCGACGAGAAGUUGGUCAAACUUGGUCAUUUAGAGGAAGUAAAAGUCGUAACAAGGUUUUCGUAGGUGAACCUGCGGAAGGAUCAUUACAAAUCGUUGGCGAACCUCGCCACUUCUUCUUCGUAUUUAAAACAUCCGCUCUUUAUAAAAAAAAAAAUUAUUUUAAUGAUAAAAUUAAAAAAAAAGAUCACUUUCAACAACGGAUCUCUUGGCUCUCGCAUCGAUGAAGAACGUAGCGAAGUGCGAUAAGUAAUGUGAAUUGCAGAAUUCCGUGAAUCAUCGAAUUUUUGAACGCAAAUUGCACUCUCCGGUUUUCCGGGAGAGUAUGCCUGUUUGAGGGUCAGCCUAAAUAAAAUCGGCUUCGUUGCUGUGUCUUUCGCGGUAACGUUUUGUCGAAAUUGGGUUAUCUUAAACUUUUCGGUUUAAGUGGCUUAAAAAUUUUUUUACGAUUUUACGAACGUUUCUAAGAAUUUACUUCUUUUACGUUCAAGGUAUCGAAUAACCUUAUUAGACGUGACCGUCACAUCGGAUCUCGUCCAUAAUUUUUUCUUUUACUGACCUCAGACAGGUAAGAGUACCCGCUGAACUUAAGCAUAUCAAUAAGCGGAGGAAAAGAAAAUAACAAUGAUUCCCUUAGUAACGGCGAGUGAAAGGGGAAAAGCUCAAAUUUUAAAUCGGUCAGGUUCUACCUGCUCGAGUUGUAAUUUGAAGAAGCGUUUUUCACGUUCAAGUUGGCCCAAUCCUUUGGGAUAGUAAUCAUGGAGGGUGAGAAUUCCGUUCGCUGAACUUAAGGAUGUUUUACGAUACGCUUUCAAGAGUCAGUGUUUGGACUGCAGCUCAAAUGGGAAGGUUAAUUUCUCCUAGGCUUAAUACGCCAGAGACCGAUAGCACAGUACGGUGAAGGCAAGAUGAGGACCUUGAAAAGA